This 24-nucleotide non-coding RNA is filed under the name Arabidopsis thaliana (thale cress). The record is from RNAcentral. Lineage: Eukaryota; Viridiplantae; Streptophyta; Magnoliopsida; Brassicales; Brassicaceae.
GAAAGUGCCCAUACUUGUCUAGCA